This is a long non-coding RNA of Heterocephalus glaber (naked mole-rat), 1119 nucleotides long. The record is from Ensembl. Lineage: Eukaryota; Metazoa; Chordata; Mammalia; Rodentia; Bathyergidae.
UGUAGAGUAGCUCAGUCAGAACUGCUGCUCAGAGUACAAGGGGCCUUGCAAGUCAAUGGCAGGACUUUGGAUUAUACCUGGAAAGGUGAAAACAAGAGGAGUUGUCUUUUGAGCAGAGCACAGAGAUGAUCCAAUUUAAGAACUAACCAGGCAGCUAUAGAUUUUCUAUGGAGAUGAGAUGGUGGGCAUCAUGGCCCAUGCCCACUGCUGCUGGGCAAUGUGAGUGGAACACGAGAGCCAUGUGGCCAGGUCUCUAUCAGCUGAGAGCUUUUGAUGUGUUUGGGAGAUGAGACAAGGUAGGGUGGAGGAGUGCAUAGGAGCCAGGACUUUCAAUACAGAAGGGUCCAGAUUGAGUCUUCCUGCUGCCACCCCCUAGCCUAGAAAGUUACUUAAAGUCUCUGUUGCCUCAUCGUUAAGUGGUAAUAAGUGGUAUUAGCAAUGUCUGCCUGAUAGGUUUCUGUGGGGGCUGACUCAGCCCAGAGUGCCUGGCACAGAGUGGGCCUGAAAGAGAUAGCAGCUGGUGUUAUUAUUCAGUAAUAAUGUGAGGUAACACCGUGCUCCUCACUGGGGUGUGGGGGUGGCAGUGGCGGUGGUGUUGGGGACAGAAAUCUUUGAGCAGAAGGUAGAUGAGAAGAGGGAGAAGGCAUGGAGGAUGGGAGCUGGCCGGAAUAAGCACAGUGUGUUCUCACAAAGGAACAUGAGGGUCUGGCUGGGAGGAGAAAACGGCCCCCACUGGAGUCUGUGCAGCCUCUUUGGCUCUAGUCAUGAGGUGAGUAGGCUUCCUCUACUACGAUGUGCUGCCUCAUCACAGGCCAGAAGCAAUGGGGCCAACUGACCAUGAAGUGAAACCUACAAAAUGUCACUUCCAGCGACCAUUUUCCAAAAUCAAUCACCCUCCAGUAACAGGAGCCUUCCAUGUAGCCUGAGUCAGACCCACCCCAGAUGUUGUUUGCCAUCAGCUGGAAACUCCUUCAAAGUCUCACAUUUUACCUUAAAGUUUUGUGAUAAAUUUACCUUUAAUAAAUUACUUAUCUGCUUAAUUGCAUUCCACCCUAAAAGUCUUUUUAAAAGAUCCUUUGAGAAAAUAAGACAUUUUCAUUUUGUGGCUUUAUAUAUACC